AGUGAACGCUGGCGGUAGGCCCAACACAUGCAAGUCGAACGGCAGCACAGUAAGAGCUUGCUCUUACGGGUGGCGAGUGGCGGACGGGUGAGGAAUACAUCGGAAUCUACUUUUUCGUGGGGGAUAACGUAGGGAAACUUACGCUAAUACCGCAUACGACCUACGGGUGAAAGCAGGGGAUCUUCGGACCUUGCGCGAUUGAAUGAGCCGAUGUCGGAUUAGCUAGUUGGCGGGGUAAAGGCCCACCAAGGCGACGAUCCGUAGCUGGUCUGAGAGGAUGGUCAGCCACACUGGAACUGAGACACGGUCCAGACUCCUACGGGAGGCAGCAGUGGGGAAUAUUGGACAAUGGGCGCAAGCCUGAUCCAGCCAUACCGCGUGGGUGAAGAAGGCCUUCGGGUUGUAAAGCCCUUUUGUUGGGAAAGAAAAGCAGCAGGUUAAUACCCCGCUGUUCUGACGGUACCCAAAGAAUAAGCACCGGCUAACUUCGUG
RNAcentral lists this ribosomal RNA (492 nucleotides) under uncultured bacterium. RNAcentral describes it as "partial 16S ribosomal RNA". It matches the Rfam family "Bacterial small subunit ribosomal RNA", at positions 29 to 507 of the family's 1533-position model. The record is from RNAcentral.